AGAGUUUGAUCCUGGCUCAGGACGAACGCUGGCGGCGCGCCUAACACAUGCAAGUCGAACGAGCGAGAGAGAGUUUACUUUUUCGAGCGAGUGGCGAACGGGUGAGUAACGCGUGAGGAACCUGCCUCAAAGAGGGGGACAACAGUUGGAAACGACUGCUAAUACCGCAUAAGCCCACGGCUCGGCAUCGAGCAGAGGGAAAAGGAGCAAUCCGCUUUGAGAUGGCCUCGCGUCCGAUUAGCUAGUUGGUGAGGUAACGGCCCACCAAGGCGACGAUCGGUAGCCGGACUGAGAGGUUGAACGGCCACAUUGGGACUGAGACACGGCCCAGACUCCUACGGGAGGCAGCAGUGGGGAAUAUUGCACAAUGGGGGAAACCCUGAUGCAGCGACGCCGCGUGGAGGAAGAAGGUCUUCGGAUUGUAAACUCCUGUUGUUGAGGAAGAUAAUGACGGUACUCAACAAGGAAGUGACGGCUAACUACGUGCCAGCAGCCGCGGUAAAACGUAGGUCACAGCGUGUCCGGAAUUACUGGGUGUAAAGGGAGCGCAGGCGGAAGACAAGUUGGAAGUGAAAUCCAUGGGCUCAACCCAUGAACUGCUUUCAAAACUGUUUUUCUUGAGUAGUGCAGAGGUAGGCGGAAUUCCCGGUGUAGCGGUGGAAUGCGUAGAUAUCGGGAGGAACACCAGUGGCGAAGGCGGCCUACUGGGCACCAACUGACGCUGAGGCUCGAAAGUGUGGGUAGCAAACAGGAUUAGAUACCCUGGUAGUCCACACUGUAAACGAUGAUUACUAGGUGUUGGAGGAUUGACCCCUUCAGUGCCGCAGUUAACACAAUAAGUAAUCCACCUGGGGAGUACGACCGCAAGGUUGAAACUCAAAGGAAUUGACGGGGGCCCGCACAAGCAGUGGAGUAUGUGGUUUAAUUCGACGCAACGCGAAGAACCUUACCAAGUCUUGACAUCCUGCGACGCACAUAGAAAUAUGUGUUUCCUUCGGGACGCAGAGACAGGUGGUGCAUGGUUGUCGUCAGCUCGUGUCGUGAGAUGUUGGGUUAAGUCCCGCAACGAGCGCAACCCUUAUGGUCAGUUACUACGCAAGAGGACUCUGGCCAGACUGCCGUUGACAAAACGGAGGAAGGUGGGGAUGACGUCAAAUCAUCAUGCCCUUUAUGACUUGGGCUACACACGUACUACAAUGGCGUUAAACAAAGAGAAGCAAGACCGCGAGGUGGAGCAAAACUCAGAAACAACGUCCCAGUUCGGACUGCAGGCUGCAACUCGCCUGCAUGAAGUCGGAAUUGCUAGUAAUCGCAGAUCAGCAUGCUGCGGUGAAUACGUUCCCGGGCCUUGCACACACCGCCCGUC
This 1366-nucleotide ribosomal RNA is filed under the name uncultured bacterium. RNAcentral's name for it is "bacterial SSU rRNA". It matches the Rfam family "Bacterial small subunit ribosomal RNA". The record is from RNAcentral.